UUUUAUCUUACACAUUCAAUUUUGUAAUACAAUUUAACUAUCUAUUUCAUAAAAAACUCGAUUUUAAUUCUACACACUUCAUCUUACUUGAUAAUGAUUUCAUGUCAAAAUAAUAUUUAUAUGAGAUCAAAUCUAU
This 136-nucleotide small RNA is filed under the name Arabidopsis thaliana (thale cress). Its description in RNAcentral is "ATSL190100". The record is from RNAcentral. Lineage: Eukaryota; Viridiplantae; Streptophyta; Magnoliopsida; Brassicales; Brassicaceae.